Molecule: ribosomal RNA, 255 nt
Filed under: uncultured bacterium
Lineage: Bacteria
Description: partial 16S ribosomal RNA
Rfam family: Bacterial small subunit ribosomal RNA
Source: RNAcentral
CAAACUGAAGAUGGCGACCGGCGCACGGGUGAGUAACACGUAUCCAACCUGCCGAUAACUCCGGAAUAGCCUUUCGAAAGAAAGAUUAAUACCGGAUAGUAUACGAAUAUCGCAUGAUAUUUUUAUUAAAGAAUUUCGGUUAUCGAUGGGGAUGCGUUCCAUUAGUUUGUUGGCGGGGUAACGGCCCACCAAGACUACGAUGGAUAGGGGUUCUGAGAGGAAGGUCCCCCACAUUGGAACUGAAACACGGUCCAA